This 492-nucleotide ribosomal RNA is filed under the name uncultured bacterium. RNAcentral describes it as "partial 16S ribosomal RNA". It matches the Rfam family "Bacterial small subunit ribosomal RNA", at positions 38 to 507 of the family's 1533-position model. The record is from RNAcentral.
GGUGGGGGGGGGGGGGGGGCCUGGCCGGGGGGGGUCGGGCGGGGGGGCCGUGGGGGGGGGGUCGGACGGGGGGGGAGUGGCGGACGGGGGGGGACUCAAGCGGAAUCUACUUUUGCGUGUGGGCAAGGGUAGGGAACCGUACGCUCAGACCGCCUCGGACCUACGGGUGAAGGCCGUGUACCUUCGGCCCUUGCGCUCUUGACUGACCCGAUGUCGGGUUAGCUAGUUGGCGGGGUAAAGGCCGACCAAGGCGACGAUCCGUCGCUGGUCUGAGAGGCUGAUCAGCCACACUGGAACUGAGACACGGUCCAGACUCCUACGGGAGGCAGCAGUGGGGAAUAUUGGACAAUGGGCGCAAGCCUGAUCCAGCCAUACCGCGUGGGUGAAGAAGACCUUCGGGUUGUAAAGCCCUUUUGUUGGGAAAGAAAAGCAGCAGGUUAAUACCCCGCUGUUCUGACGGUACCCAAAGAAUAAGCACCGGCUAACUUCGUG